UAACUUAGUGGCGAACGGGUGAGUAACACGUGAGGAACCUGCCCUGGAGUGGGGGACAACAGUUGGAAACGACUGCUAAUACCGCAUAAGCCCACAGCACCGCAUGGUGCAGAGGGAAAAGGAGCAAUUCGCUUCAGGAUGGCCUCGCGUCCAAUUAGGUAGAUGGUGAGGUAACGGCCCACCAUGCCGACGAUUGGUAGCCGGACUGAGAGGUUGAACGGCCACAUUGGGACUGAGACACGGCCCAGACUCCUACGGGAGGCAGCAGUGGGGAAUAUUGCACAAUGGGGGAAACCCUGAUGCAGCGACGCCGCGUGGAGGAAGAAGGUUUUCGGAUUGUAAACUCCUGUCUUCGGGGACGAUAAUGACGGUACCCGAGGAGGAAGCCACGGCUAACUACGUGCCAGCAGCCGCGGUAAAACGUAGGUGGCAAGCGUUGUCCGGAAUUACUGGGUGUAAAGGGAGCGCAGGCGGGUCGGCAAGUUGGAGGUGAAAGCUGUGGGCUCAACUCACAAACUGCCUUCAAAACUGCCGGUCUUGAGUGGUGUAGAGGUAGGCGGAAUUCCCGGUGUAGCGGUGGAAUGCGUAGAUAUCGGGAGGAACACCAGUGGCGAAGGCGGCCUACUGGGCACUAACUGACGCUGAGGCUCGAAAGCAUGGGUAGCAAACAGGAUUAGAUACCCUGGUAGUCCAUGCCGUAAACGAUGAUUACUAGGUGUGGGAGGAUUGACCCCUUCCGUGCCGCAGUUAACACAAUAAGUAAUCCACCUGGGGAGUACGACCGCAAGGUUGAAACUCAAAGGAAUUGACGGGGGCCCGCACAAGCGGUGGAGCAUGUGGUUUAAUUCGAAGCAACGCGAAGAACCUUACCAAGGCUUGACAUCCCUCUGACGUAUGCAGAGAUGUAUAUUUUCUUCGGAACAGAGGAGACAGGUGGUGCAUGGUUGUCGUCAGCUCGUGUCGUGAGAUGUUGGGUUAAGUCCCGCAACGAGCGCAACCCUUAUCUUUAGUAGCCAGCAUAAAGAUGGGCACUCUAAAGAGACUGCCGUGGAUAACACGGAGGAAGGUGGGGAUGACGUCAAAUCAUCAUGCCCCUUAUGUCUUGGGCAACACACGUGCUACAAUGGACGGAACAAAGUGAGGCAAAGCCGCGAGGUGGAGCGAAGCACAAAAACCCGUUCUCAGUUCGGAUUGUAGUCUGCAACUCGACUACAUGAAGCUGGAAUCGCUAGUAAUCGCGAAUCAGAAUGUCGCGGUGAAUACGUUCCCGGGCCUUGCACUCACCGCCCGUCA
This 1293-nucleotide ribosomal RNA is filed under the name uncultured bacterium. Its description in RNAcentral is "bacterial SSU rRNA". It matches the Rfam family "Bacterial small subunit ribosomal RNA", at positions 88 to 1399 of the family's 1533-position model. The record is from RNAcentral.